GACGAACGCUGGCGGCGUGCUUAACACAUGCAAGUCGAACGGAAAGGCCCCUUUUGGGGUACUCGAGUGGCGCACGGGUGAGUAACACGUGAGUAACCUGCCCUUGACUUCGGGAUAACUUCAGGAAACUGGGGCUAAUACCGGCUAGGAAUCCUUGCUGCAUGGUGGGGGUUGGAAAGCUUCGGCGGUUUUGGAUGGACUCGCGGCUUAUCAGCUUGUUGGUGGGGUAGUGGCUUACCAAGGCUUUGACGGGUAGCUGGCCUGAGAGGGCGACCGGCCACAUUGGGACCGAGAGACGGCCCAGACGCCGACGGGAGGCAGCAGGGGGGAAGAUUGCACAAUGGGCGGAAGCCGGAUGCAGCAACGCCGCGGGCGGGAUGACGGCCUUCGGGUUGUAAACCGCUUUCAGCAGGGGCGAAGCUUGUGGUGACGGUACCUGCAGAAGAAGCACCGGCUAACUACGUG
RNAcentral lists this ribosomal RNA (465 nucleotides) under uncultured bacterium. Its description in RNAcentral is "partial 16S ribosomal RNA". It matches the Rfam family "Bacterial small subunit ribosomal RNA", at positions 28 to 507 of the family's 1533-position model. The record is from RNAcentral.